AACGAACGCUGGCGGCAGGCUUAACACAUGCAAGUCGAACGCGUGUAGCAAUACACGAGUGGCGCACGGGUGAGUAACGCGUGGAUAUCUGCCUUUUGGUCGGAAUAACCCCGGGAACUGGGGCUAAUACCGGAUGGUUCCUUCGGGAUAAAGAUUUAUCGCCAAAAGAUGAGUCCGCGUACGAUUAGCUAGUUGGUGAGGUAAUGGCUCACCAAGGCGACGAUCGUUAGCUGGUCNGAGAGGACGAUCAGCCACACUGGGACUGAGACACGGCCCAGACUCCUACGGGAGGCAGCAGUGGGGAAUAUUGGACAAUGGGGCAACCCUGAUCCAGCCAUGCCGCGUGAGUGAUGAAGGCC
RNAcentral lists this ribosomal RNA (359 nucleotides) under uncultured bacterium. RNAcentral's name for it is "bacterial SSU rRNA". It matches the Rfam family "Bacterial small subunit ribosomal RNA", at positions 29 to 416 of the family's 1533-position model. The record is from RNAcentral.